GGAUUCGUAGCUCAGUUGGUUAGAGCGCGUGCUUCACAUGCACGAGGUCGCAGGUUCGAGCCCUGUCGAAUCCACCA
RNAcentral lists this transfer RNA (77 nucleotides) under Bacillota bacterium. RNAcentral describes it as "tRNA-Val". It matches the Rfam family "tRNA". From Rfam's summary of the family: Transfer RNA (tRNA) molecules are approximately 80 nucleotides in length. Their secondary structure includes four short double-helical elements and three loops (D, anti-codon, and T loops). Further hydrogen bonds mediate the characteristic L-shaped molecular structure. tRNAs have two regions of fundamental functional importance: the anti-codon, which is responsible for specific mRNA codon recognition, and the 3' end, to which the tRNAs corresponding amino acid is attached (by aminoacyl-tRNA synthetases). tRNAs cope with the degeneracy of the genetic code in two manners: having more than one tRNA (with a specific anti-codon) for a particular amino acid; and 'wobble' base-pairing, i.e. permitting non-standard base-pairing at the 3rd anti-codon position. RNAcentral also lists the same sequence under 2 other names. Lineage: Bacteria; Bacillati; Bacillota. The record is from RNAcentral.